GAUGAACGCUAGCGGCAGGCCUAACACAUGCAAGUCGAGGGGCAUCGCGGUGCAGCAAUGCACUGGCGGCGACCGGCGUACGGGUGCGUAACGCGUAUGCAACCUGCCCCGCACCGGGGGAUAGCCCGCCGAAAGGCGGAUUAAUACCCCAUGGCCCCGGGGGCCGCAUGGGCAUCCGGGUAAAGCUUUGGCGGUGCGGGAUGGGCAUGCGUGCCAUUAGCUGGCUGGUGGGGUAACGGGCCCACCAGGGCAACGAUGGCUAGGGGGUCUGAGAGGAUGGUCCCCCACACUGGUACUGAGACACGGACCAGACUCCUACGGGAGGCAGCAGUGAGGAAUCUUGGUCAAUGGACGGAAGUCUGAACCAGCCAUGUCGCGUGAAGGAGGACGGCCCUAAGGGUUGUAAACUUCUUUUGCAGGGGAAUAAAGUAUUCCACGAGAUGGGGAUAUUGCAAGUACGCUGCGAAUAAGGAUCGGCUAACUCCGUGCCAGCAGCCGCGGUUAAAACA
RNAcentral lists this ribosomal RNA (509 nucleotides) under uncultured bacterium. RNAcentral's name for it is "bacterial SSU rRNA". It matches the Rfam family "Bacterial small subunit ribosomal RNA", at positions 28 to 527 of the family's 1533-position model. The record is from RNAcentral.